Molecule: long non-coding RNA, 1220 nt
Organism: Megalobrama amblycephala (Wuchang bream)
Lineage: Eukaryota; Metazoa; Chordata; Actinopteri; Cypriniformes; Xenocyprididae
Exons: 3
Source: RefSeq, a predicted model, not a curated record
ACAGUGGAUGUAUCGCAAUGGCUCGUAGACAAGCAGUCGUUCAAGCUUUUCCGUUUGACCCAGAAUGUGAUCCGGAUAGAGAAGCACCGGAUGAAGAAGUUGCAACUCAGCGGCUACAGCAGGACGUCUCUGAAUGUGCGGCUGUUUGACAGCAUUCCCAGAGAGGCCACAUGGGAACCGCUGUCACCUCUAAUCUUCGAGACCAUACAAACACCCCGCAGUGCACUGAGCAGUGAGAAAGAGAGAGAGAAUAUGCAACCAUGGUUGAGCUACAGAGGCUGAAUAAGAACUUCAGAACCAAUAAGGAUUCUGUCAACUACAAAGUUCAGUUGGGAUCACUGAAUGAUCAUUUUUGAGCUUGUAAGAAGCCAGACCUUGCUCAUUCAGAUGUCUUAUAGCUGCCAGCAAAAGUCUCGAAAAGAAGGAUGGAGGGUGGGGAAAAAUCUGUGCAUGAGCUCAAAGACUUAUGAACCGACACCAUUCAUAGAAAACGAGAAAUCAACAGCUUCAAGGUAUUUUUUGCUAAUAGGAUGCUGCGAUAGACUCAUCCAUUCUUGUUUUAUCUGAAAUCACAAGAAAACUCAUAUCACAUGGUCUAUAAAUCAUAGCACAAGUGCAGAUGAUUGAAGUUUUUUUUUUUUUUUUUUAUAAUAAUAAUAAUAAUACUUGUUUUCAGCAAUGAUGCAUUAAUCAAAAGUGGGAAUAAGGACAUUUGUAAUGUCAAGUCUUUUAUUUUGAAAAUUACUCAUGGCCAUGUUUCCUGUUUGUCAUGUGCUUCCCUAUUCUCCUCAAGUGAUCCUGUCAUGUGCUUCCCCUGUUUAUGUGUCUUCUUCUGAUUGGUUCUCUUGUCUACGUGUCUUGUUCUCACUGGUUCAUGUUUGAUAGUGCACAGGUGUACCUUGUUUGGUCAUUAGUCUUGUGUGUAUAGCCAGAGAUUGUAUUAUUAUAGGGAGAUAAGAGUCUAUAGGUGUGUUCGACAUUGACUGCGGCUGGAUGUAACCGAUCGGCGAGAGUAGCCGCGUGCAGGCGGGGAGGAGCUGAAAACGGAGACGUGAAGUCGGACACUUUCUGCUUCUCAUAGUGACGCUUGUGUUGCGUUUGCAUACUUUAUCACAGCUGAAGUUAUAUAAAUGCAAUAUUUUACUAACACACCAAUGUUUCAGAGACAUUUUCAUUCAAUGCUUUAUGUCCUGCUUACAGCAUCUGUUUUUACAAGAAUA